GGCUUUUGCCCGCUCUAAAAAGGCGGGCGAAUAAGGGGAGGGCAAGUCGGGUGUCAGCCGCCGCGGUAAUACCCGCUCCCCGAGUGGUGGAGGCUAUUACUGGGCCUAAAGCGCCCGUAGCCGGCCCGGUGUGUCCCUCGUUAAAUCCACGGGCUUAACCCGUGGGCUGCGGGGGAUACUACCGGGCUUGGGGGUGGGAGAGGCGCCCGGUAUUCCCGGGGUAGGGGUAAAAUCCUCUGAUCCCGGGAGGACCAUCAGUGGCGAAGGCGGGGCGCCAGAACACGCCCGACGGUGAGGGGCGAAAGCUGGGGGAGCAAACGGGAUUAGAUACCCCGGUAGUCCCAGCUGUAAACGAUGCGGGCUAGCUGUCGGGGCGGCUACGGGCCGCCCCGGUGGCGAAGGGAAGCCAUUAAGCCCGCCGCCUGGGGAGUACGGCCGCAAGGCUGAAACUUAAAGGAAUUGGCGGGGGAGCACCACAAGGGGUGGACGUUGCGGCUUAAUCGGAUUCAACGCCGGAAACCUUACCGGGGCUGACGGCAGGAUGAAGGUCGGGCUGACGACCCUACCUGACGAGCCGAGAGGAGGUGCAUGGCCGUCGCCGGUGCGUGCCGUGAGGUGUCCUGUUAAGUCAGGCAACGGACGAGA
RNAcentral lists this ribosomal RNA (645 nucleotides) under uncultured prokaryote. RNAcentral's name for it is "bacterial SSU rRNA". It matches the Rfam family "Archaeal small subunit ribosomal RNA", at positions 405 to 1050 of the family's 1478-position model. The record is from RNAcentral.